UACAGAGGGUGCGAGCGUUAUUCGGAAUUACUGGGCGUAAAGCGCACGUAGGCGGCUUUGUAAGUUAGAGGUGAAAGCCCGGGGCUCAACUCCGGAAUUGCCUUUAAGACUGCAUCGCUAGAAUUGUGGAGAGGUAAGUGGAAUUCCGAGUGUAGAGGUGAAAUUCGUAGAUAUUCGGAAGAACACCAGUGGCGAAGGCGACUUACUGGACACAUAUUGACGCUGAGGUGCGAAAGCGUGGGGAGCAAACAGG
RNAcentral lists this ribosomal RNA (253 nucleotides) under uncultured bacterium. RNAcentral's name for it is "partial 16S ribosomal RNA". It matches the Rfam family "Bacterial small subunit ribosomal RNA", at positions 524 to 776 of the family's 1533-position model. The record is from RNAcentral.